ACACAAAGGCUUCCGCGAAUUCC
RNAcentral lists this non-coding RNA (23 nucleotides) under Arabidopsis thaliana (thale cress). Lineage: Eukaryota; Viridiplantae; Streptophyta; Magnoliopsida; Brassicales; Brassicaceae. The record is from RNAcentral.